Molecule: long non-coding RNA, 20853 nt
Filed under: Lathyrus oleraceus (garden pea)
Lineage: Eukaryota; Viridiplantae; Streptophyta; Magnoliopsida; Fabales; Fabaceae
Description: Pisum sativum (pea) long non-coding RNA (PSAT_LNC032156)
Source: RNAcentral
AAGAAGCUUCUUCACUCCUGCACAGCAUGGCGGUGGAGGACUGGCAUUAUUAGGAGCUUGAAGAUAAGUAAGGCAUGGAGCCAAAUCACCGGAUACAGUUCCACAUGACAAAGCAGCUUCUGCCAUAAGCUUGAAGAUAAGUAAGGCAUGGAGCCAAAUCACCGGAUACAGUUCCACAUGACAAAGCAGCUUCUGCCAUAGGCGCAAUAACUACCAUGCACAUCACCAAAGCAACACAUGCUAAUUUCAUGCUUGUUGCCAUUUUUGUUUUCUUUGUUUUCUAUUCUUUUUCUUAGUUUGUUUGAAUGGUGUGUAAUGUCUUUGUGGGAGGGGGUUUAUAUAGAAAAUAAGAUAAGGUUUGAAGAUGAGUAGAUUGAUGAAUUUUUUGUGAAUGUGCAUAAAAAUUAGGUGGUAGUUGUGGUUUGAAUUAAUGACGUAUGGUCCAUUAUCUAUAAUUAUUGAGCAUUUGUCUCACUAUCUUUAAUUUAUUAUUUAAUGAUAUGGUACACAGUUAGAUUGGACGAUAAUUACUGUAGUUUCCGAAUUCAAUUUUCCACCCUCCUUCUUUCUCUUCUCUAUUUUAUCGGUGCUUUCUGCGCUUUGUAUGAUUUUUAACUUUCUUAUAUAGGAUUAUCUUAUUAAUACUACUAUUUUAAAAUUUAGUAUAUUUUUUUAAAAGCAAAUAUUAAAAGAGGGUGGGAUAUAUAGAAUGAAACUUGUUUCGCCAUAGUUUUGAAUGGUUUUAGUGUUAUGAUUCGAGAUUUUGAUCUUAGGGGUUUUAUUAGAAAGGACAUCGUCCCUCCUAAAGUACGUGUUUUGUCUAAUGCCUCUUUAGAAAAAAUGUUCAGAACAUGUAUGUGAAAUUUUACAUGACCAUAGGAUAGAAAGCAAUUUUGGAUUGUUUGAAAGCAGCACAUGUUCAAAAUUUCCUCCUUGCUAUUAUUAUUAAUGGUCAUGCCAACAUAUGACCCUGAUAGAAUAUCAUACAAUUCUUAAAUAUCGAUUUAUGAUUCCCUUAUUUCUUGUCGACAAAGUUUUCUCUGUUUUUCGUAAGGUGUGCUUGGAUAUAUUUGGGGUGUCAUUUGACAUACUUUGGCGUGCCACGGUACCUGUGAAGAAAGAGUCACAUGUGAAUUUUUGUACUGACCACGUGAGGGAUGAUCGACACUUAGGCCAACAAAUGUUUUAGUGUACGAGUGGAUAGGAGAGAAACAUGCAUAUGUAGACUUGAUUUCAGUUUUGACAAACAUUUUAAAAAUAAAUCGAACACGCUAGGUUAAAUUACACGAAACGUAGAUUAAUAAAAUUGAUGUUUGCAAGCUUGAUUUUGAAAAUUUUCGUCAACUAUUUUGACACACAUUUUACAAUUGAUUCAACCGAUUUUCCUGUAGAUACAAAAAUUUAUUUCGACUGACAUUCUAGACAUUAUGCGGUAUGAAAUACAUGUUAUGUUAUGCAGAGAUGCAACAAUUAUGAUGAAUGCAUUGAAUCGUUGAUUCACGGUCAAAAUCGGGAUGUGACAAGUUCUACCAGGGUUUCAUCAAGGGUUCCAUCUAAGGUUUUUAUCAAGGGUUCCACUAGGGUUUCAUCAAGGGCUCCAUCAAGGGUUCCAUCUAAGGUUUUUAUCGAGGGUUCCACCAAGGUUUCAUCAAGGCUCCAUCAAUGGUUUCAUCAAGGUUUUGUCAGGAGUUUUUAUCUAGGGUUCCACCAAGGUUUCAUUAAGGGCUCCAUCAAGGGUUUUAUCAAGAGUUUUUAUCAAGGGUUCCACCAGGAUUUCAUCAAGGGUUUCAUCACGGGUUUUAUCAAAGGUUCCACCAGGGUUUCAUCUAAAGGUUUCACCAAGGGUUUCAUCAAAGUUUGAUCAAAGGGUUUCAUCAGGGUUCCACAAAGGGUUUCAUCGGGGUCCCACCAGGGGUUAUGUUAGAAGUUUCGUUAGCAGCGAUCGGAGGAUCACUACAAUCCUACUUGAAUUUCGUAAAAAAUGAUCAGAGGAUCAUCGGAAUCAUACACAGGUUUCACCAAGAGGGGUUGAAACCUACCAAAGAUUCUGGUUCCAUCAUAGUGUUGCAUGGAUUCCCCCAAGGAAGUGGUUCAAAUAUUUGAGUUCCAUUAAGGAUAUUAUUCGGGAUCCAUUAGAUUGGUUAUGUGAGUUUCACAAGGGUUCCACCAAAAGUUGGUUUAGAUACCAACGAAGUACAAAAGGCAUCAAGUCUUUAUACAUCCCCAAAAAAUCUACUAACUCCAUGGACAAAAUUAGGGUCCCUCUCUAUAUUUAAUCGUCUUCCGUCAUGAGAGGAUGAAGACUCGCCAUCACCAUCAUCUCAAUUUAAAUUUGAUUAAAUAGGGACAGUUGUCUUACCCCAAAAUUUGUCUGCCCUUCAUAUGUUUUCUAACGCCACUUUAUUUCGAAUAAAUGAAAUGACACUGUUUUUUUACUGAGUCCCAACUUUAUUUUUAAAAAAGUUUGUUUUUUUAUUUUUAUUUUUUUAAAACCACUGAUGGAUUUUCUUUUCUAUUUCAUUAGUGCCUUUUAAUUUGAAAUUUAAAUUUUAUUUAUUUGAAUAUUAUAAUAUAUAUAUAUAUAUAUAUAUAUAUAUAUAUAUAUAUAUAUAUAUAUAUAUAUAUAUAUAUAUAUUAAUUAUAUAUAUAUAUAUAUUAGUAUAUAUAAAUCUUUUACUAAUAAUUUACAAAUUUUUGUAAAUAAUAUCCACUACUAUUUCGAUCACAGAACAUACUAGUAAUAUAUUGACAUGUGAUACUUCCCUAAUUAUUCUGCAUCUUGUAUGAUUUUCAAUAAAAAUAUACAAAGUGUUGUACCAUAGAAUAAAUCAAAAAACUUAAUAUAUGAAACUAUUAAUAUGAUAUUUAAUUAAGUUUUUAGGCAACACAUAAUUGCAUCAAUUAACUCUGGUUGAUAAAUUAUGACUAUUUAUUUACGUUUUAUAAAUUAUAUUAUAUAUCACAUAUAUUUGAAAAUAAUUCAUAUUUUACAUAAAAAAGAAAUCAAUUUAUUUUAAGUAAUUGUAUAUAUAAGUAUUUUAUCAAUUCAACUCUUAAAUUAAAAUUUUAAAUUGAUAACUUUUAUAAUUUCUUAUAAAAAUUCAAUGAAUAUUGAUUACACGUGCAUUUAAUCUUGUUUUCCAAUUUAGACAUUCUUGAAAAUAUUUUAGAAGUAAUAAUAUAAUAAUAAAAAAUCAUGCAAUACAUCUAUAAUUUUUUUUACAAUGUAUAACUUAAUUUUUUUUAACAAACAAUACAUAUAACAUAAACUUAUACUAGUAUUUAUUAUUACAUAGAUUAAAUGGCCCCACAUCCUUAAUUUUCUGGAUCUACCCCUAGAUCCUACAAACAAAAACCAUCCCACGUUACACUACACAACCAUUGCAUGUGAAAAAUAGUAAUGUAUGUUGGUACAAAGCAGAGAGAAAGAAUGGUAAAAGAUCUAGUCUCAUCUCAUUUUUAGUUAACAAUUAAUUUCUUUUUAUUUGAUUUAACUAUCAUUUAACUAUCAUUAUUUUUAUUUUUAUUUGACAUUUGAAGCAUAGGCUCAAACCUAAUAGUAUCAAUCUCUUCAUAUAUCAAAACUUUUUUAAUUCAUGAAUUGAAUAGUUCUUUUUUCUUUUCAACAAAUAUUUAAACUUCUUGGUGCUUUUGUUACGGAUUUGAUAAAGUGAUUUGGUCUUCAACGCCAUUGACUCAACGUCGCAGUCACUCUGUCGACACUUCCUCUCAAACUAGAAGGUUUUAGGUUUAUUUUUUUUCCUUUUAUCAUAUAAAUGUGUGAGUCUGUCUUUGGCCCAUGUGUAUGUCCAUUUAAUUGAUUUUGUUCUACAUGUUAAUUAAUUACAUUUACACGGUAUAUUAUAACUCUUAGAUUAAUUUUUGUGUCAUUCAGCAGAAAAGUAUAUUAAUGUAAUUUUGUUUGAUACUUGAAAAGAUUAAAAAAGAUAAUAUUAUAAAAACACCCAAAAUAUUAAUUUAGUUAAUUCUCUUUUAUUAACUCUUUUUUCAUUUUAUUAAUUUCGACCACUAAGAUUAUUAACAUAUAAAAGUAAUAAACUCAUAUCUUAUUUUACUUUACGUUAAAAACAAAAUAAAAGUCAAAAAUAUUUCUUUACAUAUUUAAAAUAUUUCUUCUCAUUUUUAAUUCUAAAAAUUUAAAAAGACAAAAAAAUAUAUUAUAUAUUUUAUAUCUUUGUUUUUUGUUUAAAAAUUAAUCUAUUAGGUCUAACUUAAUCUAGUUUAUUUUCUUCUAAAUUCAUUUUAAAAUAAAUUUAUUUCUUUAUAAUAAGAAUAGUAAAAAAAACAAUAAUAAUAAUAAUAAUAAUAAUAAUAAUAAUAAUAAUAAUAAUAAUAAUAAUAAUAAUAAUAAUAAUAAUAAUAAUAAUAAUAAUUAUCUAUGUAAAUAUGAAUUUAUUUUCUAAAUCAAAUUAAAACUAUAUUUUGCAAACUAACUUGAUUGUUUGGCGUCACACCUUAUCGAUAAAUAAUUCAACUAAAAACUUAAAAUCAAUUCAAACACAAUCAAAUGUUAUUUUCUCUGUCCUUGUGCAUUGAUAUUCGCUUUUUUAAACAAAAAUUUCUCCGCCCUGGUGCUUGAGAUAUUUUCACAACUAAAAUCAACAAACAUACAAUAUUUUCUAGACGGAUUUCAGUACUUUGAUCAUUCAUAUUGCUUGAGGGUACGUAGGCAUAGAGUUGUAACACUCUGGUGAAUACAAUAACAAAAACCUUUUCUCUGUCAUCUUUCCUGAUUAAAUUUUUCUUUUAUUAAAAUGAUAACCUAAUUCCCUGUAAAUAGGUAUAUUAAGCAAAAAUAGAUAACAUAAGAAAACACCCCAUAGAUAACACCUCCCCCUCACUAAAUCGACUCCCGAACCCUAAUGCACUAUCCUUACCUUUUAGGGUUUUCUCAUUAUUUCCCAUGUUCAUUAGGAACAAAUAAAAUAUGGUGGCAACUCGGUAAUUUUCCAGCCGCGACAACAAUAUUCCAUCUUAAAUAUCUUGAGUAUCUCACUUGUAUAUCUUCUUUGAUGCAUCACCAAAUCUCUACUACUCUUGUAGAAUUUGAUGCCAAGAAAGUAUGAAAUGUCUCCCAAAUCAAACAUUUCGAAUUCCUUGCUAAGGUCACCUUUGAAGUCUUCGAUCUCUUUCUUACAAUUACCAGUUCUUAAUAAGUCAUCGACAUAGAGAUAUAGUAUAAGCAAUUCACUCUUGCUUCUUCUUACAUGUAAUCCAUGUUUAGUUGUGCACUUCACAAAUUCGUCCUCCCUUAGAAAGCUAUAUAUCUUCUUAUUCCAAGCUCUUGGAGCUUGCUUAAGUCCAUACAGGGCUUUGUACAACCUGUAUACCUUGCUUUCUUCGACUUGUUUCACAAACCCAACUGGUUGUGCAACAUAAACUUCUUCAUCUAAGAGGGUCAUUUAAGAAUGCACAUUCACAUCCAUAUGACACAUAUGCCAGUUGUUCGUGUUUGCUAGACUAACAACCAACCUGAUUAUUUUGAUCCUAGUAACAGGUGCAAAAACUUUGUCGAUUCCUUCUUUUUGAAGAAAUCCUUUCGCCACAAGUAUUUCCUUGUGUCGAGUUACUUCUCCUUUAGGAUUCAACUUCACCUUGUAUACCCACUUCUCAUUGAUUGCCUUCUUGUCUUUAGGCAAUUCGACAAGUGACCAAGUGUUGUUGACUUCAGUGGACUUCAGUUCCUCAUUCAUUUCUUUCAUCCACUUCGAAUCCUUCAAUACCUCGACUGCAUUGACUAGUUCAUCAUAUGCAUAGAAAGCAUAGUGUACCAGCUCACCUUUAUCAUCAACCACAUCAUCUAAUGUAAUCACACAUUCUUUCAACCUUACAGGCAUAUGUCUUGUUCUUUGAGGUCUGUUUGUGCUUGUUUGACCUCUGACUUCUUCUUGUCGAACUUCUCUUUCGAAUUCACUUGUUGGGUAUUCACAUAGGAUUCAUACUGAAUCCUUCUUGACAUUUUCAGUCCAAUCACAUUCCUUAAGCUCAUCUAUGAUCACAUCCUUGUUGAUCAAUAAUUGCUUGUUCAUCAAUAUUGUUUCAGAAUUCUCCAUAGGUUUGGUGUAUUUCCACAUUCAGGAAUUUCGUCUUAAUCCCAACAUCUGGUAUCUAAGCACUAGCUGUGUGAUUCUUGGGAAGCAUAAUGCUCUGAUUGAUUACACCUUUUGUUCUCCACUCUUCACUUGAGUGAAUCAACCAACCUUGAUUUCAAGAUGAUUUUGUUGCACGAUGACUAUUGAAGAAGAAAAAAAAGAUGAAUUGAGGAAGAAAGGAGAAUUUAGGGUUUGAGAGAAAAGGGGAAGAAGAAGAAGAAUUCUGCAGAGUUUUUCUUUCUGCUUUCAAACUGAAAUUUUAUUCAACUUUUUUCUAUGCAACUGCAUUACAAACAACGAUAAGUACCUCCUUAUUUAUAGGUUGAUAUUGCUUCCACACCAACCAAUCACCAACUAACCUAACUAACUAAACUAAAACAAACAAAUAAAAUUAAGUCAAAAUUAUGUCGAGAUACACUUUAAUAUUUCGACAACUCCUUUCGAACAACAUGCUUCAAUAUAAGAAAUUACAUUUUCAAAUAUAUAUAUAUAUAUAUAUAUAUUAUAUAUAUAUAUUAUAGAUUUUUUUUUUUUUUUUUAAAAUGAAAGUUAUUGUCGACCAAGACUUUCCUCAUUUUAAAGGCAUUUAUUAUUAAUCAAGUGAGUGCCUCUAUCAAAUUUUCAUUUAUAUAUAAAUUUUUGCUUUUAAUCAAUAUCCAUUAAAUAAAUGGUUGUUAUCCUUUAAACAUGACACGAUAUAUACUCUCAAGAGAGGUAAACACCACUUAACUUUUUUCAUUAAUGAACCAUGGAUAAAAUUAAUACGACCUUUAGUAUUUUAAAUUGACAUUAUCAAAACAAUAAAAUGACGAGAAAAUUAGAAAGAAAAAACAAAUUGAUCUUUAGAAUUGACUUAUCUAACACUGCAUCGAUGAUAAUAAAAACAGGCAGCAUUAUGUCGACAGGGACGGUUGCCGACCAUACUGUGUGUCAGCAAAGUUGAUAAAUUUCACCAUAGGUGUUCCUUAAUCACGGCACCGAAUUCAUACCCCACGAUGUUGUGGUACCCAUUGAAAUUCAAACUGUUGCUAUUUUGCAGACUGCAAUACAUUUUUUGUUUGGCAAUAAAGUUAGUCAGCCAUGGAUCCAUAAAUAAUUGAUUGGAGCUUAGUUAACUGUUUAAAUAUUCAUACAAAAAAUAUUUUUAUUUAAAAAAAUUUAAAAAUAACAAAAAUUGAACACACUUGCUUCUAAGUUUAAUCUCUCUAAUUUAUUCACUUGAGAAUAGAUUAGACUAGAGAAUCAAAUUUAGAAUAUUUUGUAAUCAAUUGUGUAAAUGUUCAUGUUGUUAUAAAUAUAAUAAAUACAAUGAGGAAAGGCAUCCCGCCAGAAUUUGUGACAUCCAUGUCACCUUUAUCAAAGAGGAAAUGAGACACCAUAAAAUCUUUAUGAUAACUCUCAAAGGAUCCGUCAUGGAAUAAAUCAUUAGAAUACAACACCAUAAAAUCUUGGAGGAAAUUAUGUGAAGAUUUCAUAAUACAAUUCAUAACACAUUGGAGAAAGUUGAAGAGAGUAGUGUUCCUUAGUGGGAUCCAUUAGAAGAAGAAUGAUACCUCAAAUACAUGUAAUAAUUGUGAGGUCAUAGUAAUUUCACGUGUAAAAGCAUGUAUAAUUGUAAGGAUAGGGUGAUUUCAAUGUGAAAUAUGAUUUUCCACAAUAUCUUGAAUUCCAUUAUAACUCACUCUAAUUCAUGCAAUAUUAGUCAUAAAAAUGGUUUAAAUGCUUUAUAAGUAUCUUGGAAAAAGUAGUAUCAUAGGGUGUCACCAGACACAGACACUUAUUUUAAUGUUUCGUCUAUUUCUUAUCUUCAAUUUCAAGCAUUUUAGUAAGUUUAGAAGGACCAUUUAUUUAGCGUUAAAUGUGAACAAAGGAUCCACUGUCAUUAAGUGGGUUCCCGAUUUAUAUGAAGGGAUAUGUAAGUCAUGGUAACUCGAGAACCACUUAUGAAACUAAUCUAUAUCCAAACUUAUCAAAAUAGAAAAAUCUUGAUCACCACAACUUAAUCAUAACAUCUUGAUCUUCAAGUACCAACAUUUGGUAAACAAGUUUUGAUCUUCAAGCACCAUCACUUGAUCCACAAUAUGUCAGUUACCACCACUUGAUCAACAACUAUCAAGAAUCAUCACUUGAUCAACCACAUAUCAAUCACAAGAUCCACAUAUAAAGCACCAUCAAUUGAACAAUAAGAUGUCAAGCAUCAUCAUUUGAUCAACAUAUCAAGUGUCAUCACUUGAUUAAUCUUCAAGCACAAUCACAUGAACCAACUUAGACUUGAACAAGACUGAUGAAGAAUUCUCUUAAGAGUCUUGUCAACAUCAAAACCAAAAUAAUACAUUGUUAGAGUCUUCAUACCUGUAAACACAUAGAUCCACAUUAUCCUUUUUUUUUGAUGAAAAAUAAUCUCUUAAGGAGUUGGAAUAACAAAGAAAAAAUGUUAUAAAACUUGGAGUGAUUAAACUCCCCCUACAAACAUAGAGAGUAUACCCUACUUCCCCUGAGAGUAUACUUUUGCCCCCUUGGCGUUAUCAAAAAUUUGGGGAAAAUUAAGCAGAUAGACUUGUAUAUGAAUUAUUCAAGCACAUAUAUCAUAAGAGAUGUGCAUAGACAUUUAAUGGAAAACAUACUUCAUCAAUUGAAAUGACGGAAUUCAAAUACAGAAAGGGAAAUAACAAGGAAUUUAAAAGACUAUGAAAAGAAGGAAAAACAUAGGUGAGAUAACUAUUUGUUGUCAUUAAUAUCAUCAUCUAUGAUUAUGUAUUUUUUGUUGUUGAGUUCCUCUUGAUGAUAACCAUGUCCUUUAUUAAUUUUUGAAUAGCCAUAGUGUUUUUCUGAGAUAUUUUCAGAAGGUGUUAAUGAUUGAAUCAUUUGUUGUAUCUAGAUGGAUACUUCAUUUAUGGAUUUGUUCCAUAAUUCUCCUUGAAAGAUAUGAACCCUCAUACUACUGAGGGAUGAGUAGUUAAUACUAUAGUGAUUGAAUCCAUAAAUUCCCCUUGUGUUGACUCUUAGAGUAUCUAUAAUAUUGGUGAUCAAGGCUCUAUAUCGUGACCCUGUUGAUCGAGACUGCUUGUAGGAGGUCAUAUGGAGAAGCAUCUCGUUGAUCCAAUUUGUUUGAAACUGUUGGGUAAGCAGCCACAAAGGGACCAUAUAUUCUCGAAUGAUGACUUCAAGAUUAUCUUGUAUAGGGAAGAGUAUAUGUGUGAUAAAAUAAUGUUGGGUGAGAAUAUGGAGCAUAGAAAUGGUGUAUAUGGGGGGAGGGGGUUGAAUACACCCUUUUGAAAAAUUUAACCAAUUUUUGAAAUGAAAAAUCAGAGUUUUUGAUGUGGAAGUCUUAUAACAAAAAAAGAUAGACUUUAUGCUUAAAUUGGAAAUUAACCACGUAUACAAUUACCUAAUUAACAAAUAUCUUUGAUUGAUUAGAGAUAAUAUCUAAAGAGUUACAUGCUACGAUGAAUUGUCACUUUGUUAAUUACACAAGAUAUGUUCUUUACAAUAUCCAAUUUCUAUGAAAGUUUAACACAACAGUUUGUAGAAUUUAAUCAGAACUAAAACACAAAUAGAUUUUGAUUCUAACAAAACCUAAAUUUAUAUAAUAAAUAACUACCAACAGGUAUUAACAAUAAAUUACACUAAGAAAGGUUAACCUAAACAUGCAAUAGCCUACGAAAAAUUAAAAUGAGAGAGAGAAAGAGAGUGUGAACACUAGGAUGUAUAGUGGUUCAGAUCUAUCUUCCUGCAUGAGCCUAAUCCACUCUCCAAUUGUUUCUCAUUAAAAAAAUUUCUUCAACUAUGUUUUGAAAAAAAUUACCUGAGUUCAUACAAUCAUUAAUCCAUAAUAAUGCUGAGAAAAUAAAUCUUUUAUCUGGAUCUUAACUUGUACACUGCCUUUAUACUGAACUCUUUGUGAAAUCUUUACUCGGUUAUUGCUUCUUUAAUCUUCCAGAUUCACCAAUAUUCUCCAAGUCUCCGUGUAUGGUAAUCGCCCAUGAUCUCACUAAUUUCUUGAGCAAUGAAUUGUCUGAAGAUUGAGAAGAACCGCUACCUUGUAUGUAGGCUUCCUUAUAACUCUGCCAAGAGAUUUUGAGUUUUCAAAGAUAUGGAAGUUGUUGUUGUUAUGUUCUUGGUUAUUAUAAAUUGAGAUGACAAAAUAAUUUAUAUGUGCUAGAGAUUACGCACAAAAGUAUGUGAAAAAUGGUUCUUAGAUUCGAGUCAAGAACAUUUGUUGAUUUGAGUCAAGUGAGCAAGUAAAGUGGAACAAGAUUAACAUAACAAAAGUGACUUAUUUCCUGUGAUUCGAGUCAAAUUAUAUGUAUGAUUCUAGUUAUACAAGCUCAUAAUUUGAGUCAAGUAGAAACCCUGAUUCGAAUCAAUUUGAACUGAGCCGAAUAGUAAAAUGUGAAAAAACUAUGUGAUUCAAGUCAUUUGUAAAGUGUGAUUCAAAUCAAACUGGGAAGUGGCAAAUAGGAUUUGUAUGAUUCAAUCAUGUGCAACUUGUGAUUUGAGUCACAGUGUUGUAUAAUUUUGAAUCAAGUUAAAAUUGUGAUUUGAGUCACAGAUGCAAAAGUCUCCGGCUUCCAUUCCCUGCACAUAGACCUUAAUAUUUUCUUAGCACAAUCUCUGCCAAAAACGGACUUUCCUAAAUUGUUGAUUUUGUUGAUUAAGUGGAAGAACCUAGUCUUCAUGGAUUCCACGAAUUCUCCGGGAUCCACACGAAAUAGUUCGAACUCAUCUGUUACCAUGUUGAUCUUAGAAUCCUUGACGUCAUUUGUUCCAUUGUAAAGGGUUUGAAUAUCGUCCCACAUAGAUUUUGCGCUCUUAUGAUGUAAAAUAGAGUAUAAUACUUUCACACUUAAAAUUGAGAUAAGUAUGUUACUCGCUUUCAAAUCAUAUGAAGCCUUUUUGGUUUCAUCAUCUAUCUAAUCCUUUGGGUGUUUAACAUCUACCCGUAGAUUUUUAUAAAUUGAUAAUAAAUGUACAUACAUAUUUUCUUUCCAAUAAUGAUAAUUAUCGGCAUCUUCACCCAUAUUCCCAAAAUUUUGAGUCACUUAGACCUGAUCAAAAUACCAACUUUGAUACUAAUUAUUGGGUGAGAAUAUGGAGUAGAAAAUGGUAUAUAAUGGGUGAAUAGACCCUUUUGAAAAAUUUGACCGAUUUUCAAAAUGAAAAAUCGAAGUUUUUGAUGCGGAAGUCUUAUAGAAAAAAUAGAGACUUUAUGCUUGAAUUGGAAAUUAAUCACUAAUAUAAUUACACAAUUAAUAAAUAUCUCAGAUUGAUAAGAGAUAAUAUCCAAAGAGUUACCACCUGUGAUGUAUUGUCACUUUGUAAAUUACACGAGAUGUGUUCUUUACAAAAUACAAUUUCUAUGAGAUUCUAACACCACAGUUUGCAAAAUUUAAUUAGCACUAAAACACAAAUGAGUUCUGAUUCUAAAAAAAACUAAACUUGUGUAAUAAAUUGCUACCAACAGUAAUUAACAAUAAACUACACUAAGAAACGAUUACCUAAACAUGCUAUAUCCUACAAAAUUAAAAUAAGAGAGAGAGAGAGAGAGAGAGAGAGAGAGAGAGAGAGAGAGAAAGAGAGAGAGAGAGAGAGAGAGAGAGAGAGUACGCCCGAAUGUAUAAUGGUGCGGGUCUAUCGUCAUCAUAGAAGCCUAAUCCAUUCUCCAAUGGUUUCCCAUUGAAAGUUGUCAUUCCACUAUGUUUUGACAAAAAUUGCACGAGUUUAUACAAUCAUUAAUCCAGAAUAAUGAUGAGAAAACAAAUCUUCUAUCUGGAUCUUGACUUUUACAUAGCAUUUAGGAUGAACUUUCUGUGAAAUCUUUACUCGAUUCUCGCGUCUUGAAUCUUCCAACUUCACUAAUCUUCUCCAACUUUUCGCGUGUGGCAAUCACCUCUGAUCCCACCGAUUUCUUCACGAAGAUUGAGAAGAACGCAUACCUUGUCUGUAGGCUUCCAUACAACUCUACAAAGGUCAUCAUAGAGAGAAGAACCUUUUUUUUUCACCAGAUUUUGUCACCACAAGUCACAACAAUCCCAAUGAUAAAGUUUUUACUGGUUUGUCAACAAAUGUGAAAGAGGGGGAGGAUAAGUAUCUUUAUGGCCAGUAGUUGGUUUCUUAUAAUUAACAUCCCCUUGGACCUCUUUCUCCUUCAAAUAUUGACUUUAGAACCUUAUCAUGUGUAUGAAUCAAUAGUGAAUCAAGUUUUUAACGUAACCCCCAAAGGCGUAGUGGUUUUUUAGUGUUUCUUUCAUCCAUCAUUGGUGGAUUUGGUGUUUGAGUUCUAACUUGGUUCAUAUUUGUUGGUUACUUGUUGUAUUAGUAGCACUACUACAAAAUAGACGUUUGGUAACACCCAUUUUACAACGGUUUUCCUAUUAACCGUGGUAAUAAUUUUUUGGGGCGUUUUUUUUUUGUGUAUUUACUAAAAGAUAUUUCACAACGGUCAUUGAUACCAACUGUGGUUAAAAGUGGCGUCUGAUCAUGAGUUUGAAUCUCAGCACCUACAAUUUUGUUUUUAUUUAUUUUUAAGCCACUUUUCACCACCGUUGGAACUUUCAACUGUCGUGAAAAGUGGAUCCUGGUCAUGAGUUCGAAUCCUAGCACAUACAGUUUUAUUUUUAUUUAUUUAUUAAAAGACAUACAACAACGGUUGAUUAAAGUAACUGUUGUGAUAUGUUAAGACAUAUAACAAUGGUUGUUUAAAGUAAUUUUUCUGAUAGGUACAAUUUUUUUUUUAAUAUUUAUUAAAGUAAGCAUGUUUAUUGAGUUUCUUCGCCAUUCUUAAAUAAAUCUUUGUCGGCCAUUUAGUGAGUAUCAAUGCCCAAGACACUACCAUUGGUGAUCCGCAUGAAACCUAAAACUUAGAUGAACUUUCAACUUAGAAGAACUUCAUCUUCUACCUCCAAACAUCUUCUUCCAUUUAUGACUCUCUAUUUCUCCACUAAAUUAAACUCGAAGACAUUCUUUCUUCCAUAAGCAAAACUCAAAAACAUCAUUUCUUUCAUUAACAAAUUCCAGAACUCCAUCACCUCUUCUCCCACUUGAAUGAGACAAGGAAAACAUGGAUUCUAGUUAGCAAUGUUAGUGUUUUUGUUAUUUUGUUGUUGUUGUUGUUGUUGUUCUAUUGCUGCAUUUUUAUUUUAUUUUAUUAAAAGUCAUACAACAACGGUUGUUUAAAGUAACCAUUGUAAUAAAGUGAGACAUACAACAAAGGUUGUUUAAAGUAACCGUUGUGGUAAGUAGCGUGGUGAAAAAUGUCAUACAUACAAUCAUACCAUACCUCACAACGGUUGAUCCAAAGUGGUAGUAUCCAUUUUCCGACUGUUGUGAUAGAUAUUUUUCGUAGUAGUGUAACUAUUCGAUUUUCCUUUUCUUUCUGCUUAUUUUUGUUCUUGGUGAUUGAUUGUAUUAGCUCCAUCAUUUUAUCUUUUAGUUUUUUUUGUCUGUUUUUUUUUCUUUGGAGGUUUUUCUCUUCGUUAUUAAUAUAGUAAUUGAUAAAAAAAAUGUUAGUAAUAUUUUCCGUUACCACGUUUAAACAAUCCAACUUAUUAGUAAAACCCAUUUUGUUGUAGAUAAGUUUAUGCAACUUUAUCCAUAAUAAAUGUAAGUUAAAUAUGAACUUAAUUGUAUAAACUCAAAUCUCCUUAGACUUACGAAAUGACAUUAAUAUCAAACAAACUUGCUUUUAACUUUGUUUUUAAUUGUGAUACAUUGCAUUUUUUUAAGGGUAUUUUAGAUUUUUCUUUCACACUAUUAAAUUAAUAAAAUCACAACUUUUGUUGCAUUAAAUAUAUUUAAUAAUAUCGUUAUGAAAAAGACAUAUCAAAUUAACUUUUCUAGCCUCUUAUCUUGAUUUUUCAUUUGUGAUACAAUGAUUUUUUAAAGAUGUUUUACUAUUUUACAAUAUUAUAUUGAUAAUAUCAUAAGUUUUUUUUUGCAUUAAAUCAAUUUAAUAAUAGCAUUUAUAUAUUAAUUUAAUCAUUAAUUAUUAUAUAUGUUAUAAAAGAAAAAUUAUCUUUGAACCACAACUAAGAUUUAGAUUAAAUUAAUAUUUUAAUAACUAUUGUAUAAAAAACAAUAAUCAUAAUAUACUUUAAUUAUACUUUUAACGUUAAUAUGUAUACACGGGACAAAUGUUUGUUUGGCAUUGAUCAAUAAAUUAAAUUAAUAAAAUUAAAAAAUAAUUAUAACAUAAUUUACUAAAAUAAAUUGAUUCAACAGUCCUUGUCCUUAAAAUGUUGGAGUUUCAUAUCUUUUAAAAUUUUCAAACUUAAAAUUAUAAUAUAUAAAAUAUCAACGUGACAUUUAAAAUAAUUCAAAAUAAAAAUAAUAAAAUCAUAUCAGUAUUUUUGGAAUUAAAACAAAUAAAUAAUUGUUGAGUUAGCGAGCCACACAAAUCCUUUUGUCCAAUCAAAUUCCAAAAUAUUUAAAUGAUCUAAAUCUUUAUAUUGCAAGAUUGUUUUUGCAAAAAAUAGUUUUACAGGGGCAUAAAUUAAAAUUCGCCUAUGGCACGGGGAAAUGAUAUUAACCAUUUAUAAAAUUAUUCAUUAAAAUUAAUCUCUUUUAAAUAUUUUUAAAACAAAUGAGAAUAUUUAUAAUAUAAUAAUUAUAAUUUUUCAUACUUUUAACAUUUUUUAUUAUUUCAUUUAAAAAUUAAUAACUAAAAAUAUUCGUUGACACAUCCCGUUCAUACACGAUUUAGUCCAUAUUUGAUUUUGAUAAAAUUUUGAAUAAUUAAUUUUUCUUAAAAGUGAAUUGAAUGUUUUAUAUUUUGAUACAUAGUUGAAUUAUAAGAAUUAAAAAUCAUGUUAAGACUCGAAAUCUACCAAUGAUUGUGUCUUCGAAUUAUGAUAAAUUAUUCAGGGAAAAAUAAUUCUACCAGAAGGCAAAUAAACAUACUAAAAUUGAUUAUAAAAUGGUAAAUCAAACAAAGAAUUAUUAUUUUUAUAUCUUAAAGAGAAAAUUGAUUCUAAAAUACUAAUUUAAGUUUAUUAUGAAAAUUAUAUAAGAAAUAAAUAUUAUUGAUUGAAGAGUUAGUUAAAAUUAUAAUUAUUUUUAAUAUUAUUCAAUAAAAAAUAUGAACAAUUACAAUGCAAUUCCUACAAUUGUGUUGCAUAUUUUAAUUUUAUUCAAGUUGUUUAUCAAGAAACAAGACACUUAAAAAGGUAUUCUAGCAUACAAUUCUUACAAAAAUAAAUGUUUUUCCCUAAUAAAAUAAUUAAAUUUAAUAUUUUCAAUAGCUUGUAGAUAAAAAUAAGAUUAUUUAUAAUAAAAUAUUAAUUAAAGUGAAAUAUAAAUCAUUGAUUUUUAUUAUAAAAAAAAGGACAAAUAGUCGUAACAAAUACAUAAAAAAUACAAGAUAGAAAUAUUUGUAACAGGUAAAUAUAAAAAAAAAUAUAAAAUACACAUUUGUCAUUGUUACAUAGCAAAAUAAUACGCAAAUAUUUUUUAUUUUAUUAAUGCGAAAUAAAAACAAAAAAUUAAAUUCAAAUUCAAAAAAACAGUCUCCUCCAAUAUGUAGAUUUUGAUAGUGGUUUUGCAACAUGACUCCUCCAUAGCAGGAGUUGUAGAGACUCUCAGCACCACCUCUCACUCUAUUGAGGUUGUUGUGCACCUAGAUCAUCGUCGAUGGUCUUUGCCGUCCUUGGUGAUUUCCAUUGAUUUGUAUCUUAACCCCUUAGGAUCCGUUGUCUGUUGUCCACUAUUCAGAAGGAACUCCGUGCCAGAAUGGAUAAACAAGACACUGUCAACGACAACAUUCAGAACAUGCUAGCUCAAUUGCUUCAGAGAAUGCCUCCGCCUCCCAACCCCUAGGCACUUAGGAUUUUGUUUUUAGCCUGUUGUUUUGGCUUGUUCUGAUGACUUGUUCUUUUUGUCCUUGUCUCUGUUGCUUUUACUGAAUACAAUGUUUUUUUCUUGAAUUAUUCUUUUCUGCUAUGUCUUUUGAUUCUGACAAAAAGGGGAGAAGUCAUUAAAUGCUCUGACGAAAUUCUGUUCUAAAUACUUAGCACUUGCAACUAUUUUCUUAAAAUAAAUUUAUCUACACUAGACUUAAGAAAUUGCAGAGGGGCAACAUUAGCUGGGUGGUAAGUUUGGUAUCAAGACCUCAUUCCGCUUGGAAGCUUGGUAAAACUUUUGACUCCCGUAGCCUAUUCUCAGGGGAGGUCUUGUCUAUCUGAUCUGAUAUUGUUUAUGUUUCAUCUGCUAAUUAAGUUUGUUUUGUCAUUUUCAGAAGGGGGGAUUGUAGAACAAAUUGGUGAUCGGUACAGCAGAUUCGGCUCUNNNNNNNNNNNNNNNNNNNNNNNNNNNNNNNNNNNNNNNNNNNNNNNNNNNNNNNNNNNNNNNNNNNNNNNNNNNNNNNNNNNNNNNNNNNNNNNNNNNNNNNNNNNNNNNNNNNNNNNNNNNNNNNNNNNNNNNNNNNNNNNNNNNNNNNNNNNNNNNNNNNNNNNNNNNNNNNNNNNNNNNNNNNNNNNNNNNNNNNNNNNNNNNNNNNNNNNNNNNNNNNNNNNNNNNNNNNNUGCUAUGUCUUUUUGAUUCUGACAAAAAGGGGGAGAAGUCAUUAAUAGCUCUGAUGAAAAUACUGUCUAAAUACCUUAAGCACUCUGCAACAUAUUUUUCUUAAAAAUAAAUUUAUCUAACACUAGACUUAAGAAAUUGCAGAAGGUAUCAAGAAACCUCAUUGCUUGGAAGCUCUGGUAAGAACUUCUGAACUCCCUAGCCUAUCUCAGGGGGAGCUCUUGUCUAUCUGAUCUGAUAUUGUUUAUGUUUCAUCUGCUAAUUAAGUUUGUUUUGUCAUCAUCAAAAAGGGGGAGAUUGUAAGAACAAAAAUUGUUCUACAACAGAUUCCAUGAUUUUGAUGAUAACAAAGGAUGAAACCAAAAAUGGCACCCUAACGAAAAGUUUCUAAGUGUGCAGGAUUCUAAGGAAAGAAGGAAGAGAUCUGAUGACGUCAUCAGAUACAGAAUCAUAUCAGAUACAAAUUAUCAGAAGACCAAAAGCAUCUGAAGUAUAAACACGCUCAAGAAAGUCUAACUCUGAGCAAAAACAACAAAAUAUCAGAAGCAUCUGAACAAGAAGUACGCUCUAGAAGUUCUGACUCUGAACAACGGUAUGUCAAACUCCAGAAGCUAUCAGCGCUAUCUGAAGAAACCAUCAGAACUUAAAAGAGAUCAACAUCAGAAGUUAGAUAGCAAGAUUCCAAGAUUCCCAGAAACACGAAGACUCAGAUCUUGGAUUUCCUAAUAAGGAAAGAGUAACGUUAACUUCAAAUAAAGGCUUGGAAAUGGAUUUCCUAAUACAGAAAGAGACGUUAAACUCCAAAUUCAAAUGAAAAGGAACUAUUUUUGGAAAGUAGUCAUUCGAGGAGAGAAAGUUGUCUUGGCAAGAAGCUAUAUAAGUUAUGGCAUUAAUUUAAAUUAUUGGCCAUCACCUUCAACGACUACUUCACUCCUAUAUAUAAAGGACUGCAAAUCAACAUCAAACACAAGAAUUUACUGAAACAUCAACACACAUAAACACAUUUUAUUCUCUCAAUCUUCACGAAGCUUUUGCUUAGAACGUGAAACACUUUGUUCUUGCUGUUGUAAUAUUUGCUUAUCUUAGAAGCACUCUAGAUUACAUAAGUCUUUAUCCUUGUUUUUUUCCUCAAGUGACUCUGCGCAGUCUGUAUACUUGAGAGGACUAAGAGAUCUUCUCUUAGACGUCGUUUGUAAUCAAUCUUUCAAGAUUAGUGGAUUAAGUCCUUGUUGAAGGCGAAAUCACCUUGGCCGGGUGGACUGGAGUAGCUUUGUGUUAUAAGCGAACCAGUAUAAAUUCCUUGUGUGAUUUUCAUUUUUGAAAAAGCGCUUAUUUUCAAAACAAUUCAAACCCCCCUUUCUUGUUUUUCUCACCUUCAAAGGUUUGAUUUGAUUUUGUAUCAGACAAUUUUGCUUGAAAGAGUUAUAUGGCUUUCACAAUUUGGUUGUGUUUCAGGUUAUUUUAUGGACAUCUCAUGUUGUUCAUAUUUUGCAACAAUAUGUUAUUGAUGAGAUGAUUUAAUUAUGUUUUUGUGGUCGGUUCAUUUGCCAAUUGUUGUGAAAUAUAAAGCUGAAAGUGAUACUUUAUUAAACCAAAGACAAUGACCUUAUAUAGCCUUACAGGAGAAAUAAAGAAAUAACAGAAGCAAACUAGAAACUAGGAAACAGACUCCAUUACGUAAUUAUAGAUGACUUAUUCAACUAAGACAAAUUCAAACUACAACAUACCCUCCCUUAAGCUUAACUCUCAUGAAUUAAGCUUAAUUCAGACAAGUUAACAAUUUCAAGUAAUGCUCUCAGCUUCUCAAACUGCUCCAGCUUCAACGACUUCGUAAAAAUAUCCGCAACUUGGUUUUUUGCUGCACAAUACUCCAGCUUAACAGUUUCCCCAUUCACCAGCUCUCUAAGAUAAUGAAACCUUACUUCGAUAUGCUUACUUUUCCCAUGAAGGACUGGAUGUUUGGACAAAGCAAUCGUCUAACUUGUAAGACCCAAAUUUUGACCCUAAGAUCCCUCAUGGCAUCAUAUCAUUGCACAUUGCAUUUGCCUCAAGGAUCAUAGCAUCUUGACUCCUUAACCUUUGGGUAGGACUUGUGUGAGUUGGUCUGAGACCACCAAGAAUGCUUGAAUAGUAUAUUAUUGCUUUUAUCAUUUUGUUUACUAACCAAAAUCACAAAAAAUAUGUCACUAACUUUGUUUGUUUUGUAGCUUGAGCAAUCAUAAGAUCCAAGGCUCCUAGGAGACCCUUACUCAUUAGAAUGGCCAAAUGAAGUUGAAAGAAAGCAUGACAAUGGUUCACAAGGCUCUCAAUCAUCAUAUAUUCCUCCCAAGUAUCUCAGUUUGUCAAUUUGAUCAAGAUAAACCAAAGGACUUGAGGCCUGUUUCCCAAGGAAACCCUAAUUCAUCUGUGCAUUGAUUGUGCCUUGCUCAUGAAGUAACCUCAAUCCAUGAUCAAAUAUAAUCAAGGGAAUUUCUUUCAUUCAUCAUUUCAUGAAUAUUUGAGCUUAUUUGAGUGUCCUCAAUCAUCAAUUCAUCAAGAUUUGAAGUUUGGACUUGAGAAGUUGAUCAGUCAAUUCAUCUAACUAUUUUAAAAUCCACUGAGACCUAACUUUUGAUGUGUUUGUCAAAUGAAGAUGACCCCAAGAGAAAAAAUGUUCUUAAGAACCAUAUGAACAACUUUCAUGUUCAUCAAAAAUUUAUUUGAAUCUUGUAAGGUCAUCAUCCAUUUCAAAACAUUAUAGGUCAUUUUGACUGAAACCCUAAUUUUGGGUCAACUUCCCAAGGACCUAACUCACUCAUUUUUCAUGAUUUUGAGGUGGGAUCAAAUGAAUUGGAAAGACAUCAUCCAUUUCAAAACAUUAUAGGUCAUUUUGACUGAAACCCUAAUUUUGGGUCAACUUCCCAAGGACCUAACUCACUCAUUUUUCAUGAUUUUGAGGUGGGAUCAAAUGAAUUGGAAAGUUUAACAUGUCUACUUCAUUUUUUAUGUUGAAAAAAUGUUCAUAAUCCUAAAAGAAGUACAUGUGAUAAUGCAAAACAUUAUAGGUCACUUUGGACCAAAGUCAUUGAAAUGUGAAAAAGUCCAACUUCAAGUGCCCAUAACUUUCUCAUCAAAAAUCCAAAUGAUGCAAAAUUUGAGUACAAAUUGAUUUUAUUGAAAAGAUAUACAACUUUGAUGUUGAAGGUUUUGUCAUUUGAGGCUUGCAUCAUUGAAACAGAAGGGCUUGAAGUUGGUCCAUUUUGGCAAAAUUCUCAUACACAUAUUUUGUACAUGGAACUUCAUGAUCAGUUUUCAUUAAUUUCCCAACUCCAAAUGGAUUUUUGUUCAACAUAAAAAUUGUUCCUCAUGUCAAGGCCUUUCCAACCAUUACCCACAUGACCAUGAUUCAUUUUGGUAAGGUGCAUUUUCGAAGAGAUGAAAGUUUAUGUUCAUUUAUGGAAACAAUGUUAAAAAUCCAUGCACAAGCCAAUUCAAUCACACUUGUACGUCCAAUUCAUCUCAAUUACAUAUGAACACUCAAUUGCCAUUGCAUUUGGGCCUCCCAUGCGCCUGUACAGGCCCAUACAUAGAGGCCCUCACUUCAUGCACACAUGAAUUUCACCUUGCUUGCAUCACCUUGUGCUAUAAAUAGAGAUGCUCAGCUUCACUCCAAAUCAACCUUAAGGCGCCUUACAUGCUGCAGAACUGAAUCCCCACCUCACUCAAAGGAAUUUUUUGCAUUUCACUUCAAUUUUUCAGUCUCAAUUUUCAACUUCCUUGGUUGAUUAUUGAGCUCUAAUUCCUUAGCCUCACUUCCUUUCCAUCUCAAGAACACACUGCUAUCAAGAAUUGGGAGAGAUCGUGAUUCAUAGAGAUGCACUUCAAAGGUUGUUGUUCAAACUUUUUCAAUUCGAAUCUCACUGGAUCUUGUUAUUUCUUGUGUUUGUUGGCUCCUCUGAAGUCCUUCAUAAGAGGCAAUUGAAUAUUUAAUUUCACGAAUCCAUCAAGUUCAGAUUGAACACCAUAAUUUUCUCUCUCAGAUUUCUCCUUCUAUGAGAGUCUAGAGGAGAAACCAAUGGCACAGGGGUGAUGUACAUCACCCCAGCUUUCUAAUGAUAUGAGGAUCGUCCAUUUUGGUUGAGAUUUCAUGACCUGCAACUUCCACCGGAGCUAGCAUGCUUGCCGGAGAAGACGGUGGUGUACACCACCGUCCCCGUUGCCAGAUUUAAUCUAGGCCAUUUGAUUG